GACAGAGGGUGCAAACGUUGUUCGGAAUUACUGGGCGUAAAGCGCGUGUAGGCUGCUCGGAAAGUCGGAUGUGAAAGCCCUGGGCUCAACCUAGGAAGUGCAUUCGAAAUUUCCGAGCUGGAGUGCUGGAGAGGAAGGCGGAAUUCCGGGUGUAGCGGUGAAAUGCGUAGAUAUCCGGAGGAACACCGGUGGCGAAGGCGGCUUCCUGGACCGACACUGACGCUGAGGCGCGAAAGCUAGGGGAGCAAACGGG
Molecule: ribosomal RNA, 253 nt
Filed under: uncultured bacterium
Lineage: Bacteria
Description: partial 16S ribosomal RNA
Rfam family: Bacterial small subunit ribosomal RNA
Source: RNAcentral